UACGGAGGGUGCAAGCGUUAUCCGGAUUCACUGGGUUUAAAGGGUGCGUAGGUGGGCUGGUAAGUCAGUGGUGAAAUCUCCAGGCUUAACUUGGAAACUGCCAUUGAUACUAUUAGUCUUGAAUACCGUGGAGGUCAGCGGAAUAUGUCAUGUAGCGGUGAAAUGCUUAGAUAUGACAUAGAACACCAAUUGCGGAGGCAGCUGGCUACACGAAUAUUGACACUGAUGCACGAAAGCGUGGGGAUCAAACAGG
This 253-nucleotide ribosomal RNA is filed under the name uncultured bacterium. RNAcentral describes it as "partial 16S ribosomal RNA". It matches the Rfam family "Bacterial small subunit ribosomal RNA", at positions 524 to 776 of the family's 1533-position model. The record is from RNAcentral.